GACGAACGCUGGCGGCGUGCUUAACACAUGCAAGUCGAACGGAAAGGCCCUGCUUUUGUGGGGUGCUCGAGUGGCGAACGGGUGAGUAACACGUGAGUAACCUGCCCUUGACUUUGGGAUAACUUCAGGAAACUGGGGCUAAUACCGGAUAGUACCUCCUGCUGCAUGGUGGGGGUUGGAAAGUUUCGGCGGUUGGGGAUGGACUCGCGGCUUAUCAGCUUGUUUGUGGGGUAUUGGCUUACCAAGGCUUUGCCGGCUAGCCGGCAUGAGAGGGUGACCGGCCACAUUGGGACUGAGGUACGGCCCAGACUCCUACGGGAGGCAGCGGUGGGGAAUAUUGCACAAUGGGCGGAAGCCUGAUGCAGCAGCGCCGCGUGCGGGAUGACGGCCUUCGGGUUGUGAACCGCUUUCGCCUGUGACGAAGCGUGAGUGACGGUAAUGGGUAAAGAAGCACCGGCUAACUACGUG
Molecule: ribosomal RNA, 468 nt
Filed under: uncultured bacterium
Lineage: Bacteria
Description: partial 16S ribosomal RNA
Rfam family: Bacterial small subunit ribosomal RNA
Source: RNAcentral